Molecule: unclassified non-coding RNA, 557 nt
Filed under: Hevea brasiliensis (rubber tree)
Lineage: Eukaryota; Viridiplantae; Streptophyta; Magnoliopsida; Malpighiales; Euphorbiaceae
Source: RNAcentral
CUGGUAAAUAGUUGCUUCGGAAAGUGAGAGAGAAGAUCUAGGAAACCCUAGAAGCAAAUAAAUGCCAUUUCGAUUGAAGAAAUCACUGAAUCGGAGACGGAAGGAUGGAAUUGAAACUUUGAACUAGAUUAGUGGGGUAAAAAAUGGUCGCAAUUAAGAUUAUUGACAAGGAAUGAAUUAGGGAUUGGAUUACGAGACGGGAAAUGGGGUGGGUUCCUGAGCUAUUUGAGUCUCUGAUGGAGAGAGAGUACAAAAGCUCAGGCGAGGAAGUGACGACUUACAAAGACGAGAACGGUGAGAAUCGGGAGAGUCUUGGGUUUAAUACAGCGCGCUGUAGUAAACUAGCAAAAGUGGACCUGUUUCCUUCCGUAUUUACGGAAUUGCCUGCAUUUGGCAGGUUCAUUGUAGCGUUUGCAAUUUUUUUUUUUUUUUUUUUCAAUCUCUAUAUUACGAAUUAUUCCAUUUGAGGCUAAAGUAUUUUAUUAUAGUUUAAAGAUUUUUAGUAACUAUUAAUAUCAAACUUGCAACGACGACGCAGCUUCCUACUUAAUCCAGCG